AAGCCAUCAUUCCCUUCUCUGGACUACUGCGACAGCCCCUCACCAUUUCCACUUCUGCAAUCUCCAUGGAGCAGCCAGAGUGAUUUCAACAAACACAUGGGUUUAUUACAUCAUCUCCUGGCUCACAGCCCUUCAGGGGGCCUUUGCUCUGUAGCUACCAGCCCUAACUGACGGGAGCUCCCCAAAUAUACAUCCAAGACCUCCUCUCCAACGGCUCACCCUCCGCCAUGACCCAGACACAUUAGAGCCAUAAAACUCAGAAUGAAUUACGAUUCCACGAGGUACAGAUGAGAAAAAUGAAUCACGUAUGCUUCACGGGAAGUGACUUCAUCAUUUCCAACAAGUGGCCAUGGAAGUAGAGUUUGCCAUCACUGGCUGAAAAGAUGUCUGUCACAAAAGAGAGCUGCGCCCAACUGAGGCCACCAGGCCACAUCUCAGAGCCUUCUUUUCCCCAUACUUGAGAACCCCCACUUCCGAGGCCGGAUGACUUCAGGGUUAUAUUGUCUGACCCUCUCAGGAACAGAGAAGGUGCCCAAGGAGGGGGAGAGGACCCACUAAAGUUCAUUAGAAUUGAAGUUAUGUAGGAUGAUUGGCUGGCUCAGUAUAUCUGUGGUGGGUUCUGAACCAGAUCUCAGCCCCCUAUGCCCUCCAGUGCCCUUCCCACGGCACCAGCCCACUUCCUCAUCCUCUAAGAGUCAUGUCUCCAUAGCUUCCUGCACUUCCUUGCUCAACAGCCUCACCGAACCUCUACUAGAGUGUGGGUUACUCCUCCAGUGUUCCUUCUUCCAUGCUAGACUGUAAGCUCUCCAAGAAUAGAAAUGAAGACUCAAAUUUCCUAUAAAUUCCCACACAGAAGAAUGUGUAAAAGCUUGAGCAUCCCAGGGACUGUCGAAAGAUCUCCAGCUAUAACCUUCUAUUUAACUAGGACUGUUACUAUUAUUACCUAUAUACAGUGUGCCUGAGGUCCUAAGAACAGAGAGAUACUCUUUGGAGGCCAGAAGCCACCUGAGAAAAACACCAUUUUGGUGACUUUUCUCCAAAUGUACCCAAAGGCCUGGGUUCCUGUCAUGUGAUGUUUUUCCCUCCUUCUUAAGGGAAGAGAGGAUAUUAAUAAAGAUCACUAAUCUCAAGCAAGGCAGACCAAAUUCACAAGGAUCUUUCCCAUAAAAUGUCUGCAUAUCUGAAUGAAGGAAAAAGGAGUACUGUUCUAUUUUUUUAAUUUCUUUGAAGUACAUCUUUUUGUAUAAAGAAAUUUGCUCUUUGAUUCCAAAUAAGGCACAAGUAAGUAGAAGAAGGAUUUCUCCAUGAACCCACAAUUCCCACCCUGGGAAGGUGGAAUUAUGGUGCCCCAGAGAUGUCCACAUCCUAAUCCGCAGAGCCCAUGAAUAUGUUACCUUACAUCACAAAAGGGACUCUGUGGAUGUGAUUAACGUUAAGGACCUUGAGAUGGAGAGACUAUCCUGGAAUAUCCAGAUGGGCUUGAUGUAGUCACAACACUCCUUCAAAGCAAAUAACCUUUCUUGGAUGUGACCAGAAGACAGCAAUGUGGCUGGCUCUGAAGAUGGAAAAGGGGGACGUGCAUGAAGGAAUGCAGGCGGCCUCUAGAAACCCCAAAAGGCAAAAAGAUGUAUCCUCUCCUAGAGCCUUCAGAAAGGAAUACAGUCUUCCUGACACCAGGUCACUGAGACCCAUGUCAGACUUCUAAACAGCAGCCGGGUAAUAUGUCCGUGUCAUUUUAAAAUUAUUUGCUAUGGCACAAAAUAGAAAACUGAUACAGGACAGUAAUAAAGAGUCAAGGAAGCCCUUCUCAGUGCUGGAGGGAUGGAAUAACCUGCUUGAGCAGGCACUUUCUGGGCUAUUAGGCUCAGGACAAGCCCCUGGUGUGCCUCAGACCACCAAUUCCAAGCUAAGAAUUAUUGCACUGUGUCCAGAUGCUUCUCUCUUCAGACAGCAGACUGAACGUGGGGUGGGGCCAUCCGAUUAAGGACAUGGGGCAGGGAUCUCACCCACCUCUCUGCCUUGUUCAGUGCCGAUAGGCAUAGAGAAAUGUAUCUUCGUGAAUGAAAGCAAUUUGGACACUACAAGAGACCUACAAUAAGGGGAGCAUAAAAGUCUUAGAUCUUUAUCAUAUGAUGAGCAGAAAAAGGGAGGUUUUCUCACUAGCCUAUCUGGUCUCGGAAGUCAACAAAUUAGAAUUCUGAAAAGGUGCAUGAUUUGCCUGGGGUCAUCUAGUAAACUAGGGAGAAAAAGAGACCAGGGGCACAAUUCUUGACCCUUUGCCAUCUGCAUUGUAUCAGCCUGCAGUAAGAACUGGAAAAUCCACUAUAGAGGCAGAAGGGAGGCCCAUAGCCCAGACUCUUAGAGCAUAAACUAGUACUUUGAGCACAGCAACCUAAUGCAAGAAAAGGUGCAUGACCAUGUGCAGAAGCUGUUGAUGAACUUACAGAUGGCCCCUCCAUCGUGUGAUUUCAUCCUGCACUCCCCGUGGGGACAGAGCCCCUUUCUGUGGAGAGGAAAACUAUGCCCAACGUACGGAUGAGUUAUCCAUGCAGCUCAUGCCAUCAUUCUCUGCAAAGGCAGAGAACUGGAACGGAAAAGAACAGAGGCUUGAAAUUUGGAAGGAGUAUUUGGAUCUUGACCUGGCACCACAGGAGAGAGCUGGAAGCGAGCCUUGGCCAGGAACUUGACCUGUGGAAACCUCAGUUUGCUCGUUAUGAAACAGGGAUAAUAGUGCACGCUUUGCAAAGUGACUCUAAGGAUUGAUUCACUCAGUAAACUAUGAAAUGAAAUUAUACAUAUGCACGGAAUGUCCUACAGCCAAUAUUCCAUAAAAGGUUUCUCACCUGGCCCUUUAUAGACUUUCCCCUAACAUCGGAAAAGAAAGCUUGAUGAAACACGUGUUGUCUAAGAAAAGGCUUGUAUUUGUGCUGUGCAAAUUCCAAGGAUCAGUGGCCCUGGCCCCCAAAGGGAUGGGCCUGACGCCAGUUUGUACAGGGUCUUAGUCUGUUUCUCUCCCUUUCCCGAAUCCCUGUUCACAGUGAUUGUGGACUCACAGCGCCAUCUCGUGGGAAACUGUGGACUUUCCUUUUCUUUUGCCCAACUAGAAAAUGCAGCAAACACCUCAUCUCUGCCAGACACACAGCCUACAAAGACCUAAAACACUUUCCUGAUUUUACUUAAAAAUAAGCAAAAUGCCUAGCUGAGGACAUGUGCAUGGCCACAACUAAGAAAAGGAAAAGGAGAAGUCCAUUUAGCCUGCCCGGCGAGAUCCCAGGCUGUGUUCCCCGGGGAGCAGGGAGAAGGAGCCUCGGGGAGUACCUGGAGAGGACUCCUGGAGGAGAAGGCAGAGCCUUCUCAGAGGAGAAGAACGAGCCACGGGUGCCAUCCAUUGAACACACCUGGGCUGCGUGCUCUUGUAGAUGCUCUACGUGUACCAACUCAUUUAACCUUCCCAAACACUGAGCACCGCAGGAAAGCUGCUCUCCAACCCCAGGAGGUCUGAAUGCAAGUUCUUAACUACUCAGCGAUGACUGCUGGUUACUACUAGCUACCAGUCAGUCGCCUGCAGUUUAAGUCAGAGAGAGGCAGCGGCUGAGACGGGCUGCAGUCCACAUUCCCCGACUCCAGAUUCCCAGCUUCCAUAUCAAGAAAAUGCCUUUUGUUCAACUAAGCCACGGCCAACGGACAGGAUAUUUAUAAACCAAGUUGUAAUAGCAAGCAGGUGAGGCGGGGCGGGGUGG
This is a long non-coding RNA of Felis catus (domestic cat), 3740 nucleotides long. RefSeq lists it as uncharacterized. The record is from RefSeq and is a predicted model, not a curated record. The transcript has 3 exons. NCBI's taxonomy places the organism in Eukaryota, Metazoa, Chordata, Mammalia, Carnivora, Felidae.